Molecule: ribosomal RNA, 406 nt
Filed under: uncultured bacterium
Lineage: Bacteria
Description: partial 16S ribosomal RNA
Rfam family: Bacterial small subunit ribosomal RNA
Source: RNAcentral
GUUGAACGCUGGCGGCAGGCCUAACACAUGCAAGUCGAACGAGUGGCGGACGGGUGAGUAAUGUCUGGGAAACUGCCCGAUGGAGGGGGGUAACUACUGGAAACGGUAGCUAAUACCGCAUACCCUCGGAUGUGCCCAGAUGGGAUUAGCUAGUAGGUGGGGUAACGGCUCACCUAGGCGCCGGUCCCUAGCUGGGCUGAGAGGAUGACCAGCCACACUGGAACUGAGACACGGUCCAGACUCCUACGGGAGGCAGCAGUGGGGAAUAUUGCACAAUGGGCGCAAGCCUGAUGCAGCCAUGCCGCGUGUAUGAAGAAGGCCUUCGGGGUGUAAAGUACUUUCAGCGGGGAGGCGUUACUCGCAGAAGAAGCACCGGCUAACUCCGUGCCAGCAGCCGCGGUAAUAC